CUUUUUAUGGGGUUUUCCUGAUUUUCCAGGGGUGGGGACAGACACAGGGACACGGGGACAGCGGGAUCUGGGAAUAUCGGGAUCUGGGAAUAUCGGGAUUUGGGGACAUCGGGAUUUGGGGACACGGGGACAGCAGGAUUUACACCGGGACAGGGAUUGUUCCCAGGAUGGGGACAGGGGGUUUGGGGACACUGGGAUUUGGGAAUAUCGGGAUCUGGGAAUAUCGGGAUUUGGGAAUAUCGGGAUCUGGGGACACCAGGCCUCCAGGGCCUGCCAGGCCGCAGGGACAAGGACACAUUUGGGGACAUCGGGAUUUGGGGACAUCGGGAUUUGCACGUCCGGAGGCUCCAGGACAUCGGGAUUUACACCGGGAUUUGGGAAUAUCGGGAUGGGGACACAGGGACACCGGGAUUUGGGGAUGGGGACACAGGGACACCGGGAUUUGGGAAUAUCGGGAUGGGGACACAGGGACACCGGGAUUUGGGGAUGGGGACACAGGGACACCGGGAUUUGCACCGGGAUUUGGGAACUCCAGGCCUCCAGGCCCUGCCAGGCCGCAGGCGCGGGGACAAGGACACAUUUGGGGACAUCGGGAUUUGCACGUCCCGAGGCUCCAGGACAUCGGGAUUUACACCGGGAUGGGGACGCUGGGAUGGGGACAGGGGGCUGGGGACACCGGGAUUGGGAAAUAUCGGGAUUUGGGGACAUCGGGGACACGGAGCCCCAGGCCUGGCAGCGGCGAUGGCGCAGCCACAAGGACACGGGGACAUCGGGGCCUGGGGACAUCGGGGUUUGGGGACAUCGGGGUCUGGGGACAUCGGGGUUUGGGGACAUCGGGGUCUGGGGACAUCGGGAUUUGGGGACAUCGGGAUUUGGGGCCACGGGGACAUUGGGAUUCGGGACCUCAAGGACAUCGGGAUUUGCAGGGCCCGGCGGCGCUGCUGGCGCGGGGCCGAGGCGGCAGCGACACGCGGGGGACACUCGUGACACGCAGGGGACACUUGGGACACGCAGGGGACACACGGGGGACACUCGUGACACACUCGGGGACACUCGUGACACACUCGGGGACACUUGGGACACUCAGGGGACACACAGGGGACAAUCGUGACACACUUGGGGACACACAGGGGACAAUCGUGACCAGCGUGACACGCUCAGGUGACGCAGGAGCCUCAGCACGGCCGGGGGUGGGGGUGGGGAGGGGCCCGGGAUGUCCCUGAGAGUGUCCCUGGCACACCUGGGCACACCUGGGGACACCUGGGGACACCUGGGGACACCUGGGGGACACCUGGGGACACCUGGGGACACCUGGGGACACCUGGGGGACACCUGGGGACCCCUGGGGACAUCUGGGGGACACCUGGGGGACACCUGGGCACACCCGGCCCUUGCACGCCCGCCCCACCCUUGGCGCGCUCUGUUCCAGCACCUUCCACGCCCGUCCCUUGCACGCCCCUGCAGCAG
RNAcentral lists this long non-coding RNA (1467 nucleotides) under Parus major (Great Tit). RNAcentral describes it as "lncRNA (ENSPMJG00000002070.1)". Lineage: Eukaryota; Metazoa; Chordata; Aves; Passeriformes; Paridae. The record is from RNAcentral.